GACGAACGCUGGCGGCGUGCUUAACACAUGCAAGUCGAACGGAAAGGCCCUGCUUUUGUGGGGUGCUCGAGUGGCGAACGGGUGAGUAACACGUGAGUAACCUGCCCUUGACUUUGGGAUAACUUCAGGAAACUGGGGCUAAUACCGGAUAGGAGCUCCUGCUGCAUGGUGGGGGUUGGAAAGUUUCGGCGGUUGGGGAUGGACUCGCGGCUUAUCAGCUUGUUGGUGGGGUAGUGGCUUACCAAGGCUUUGACGGGUAGCCGGCCUGAGAGGGUGACCGGCCACAUUGGGACUGAGAUACGGCCCAGACUACUACGGGCGGCAGCAGUGGGGAAUAUUGCACAAUGGGCGGAAGCCUGAUGCAGCAACGCCGCGUGCGGGAUGACGGCCUUCGGGUUGUAAACCGCUUUCGCCUGUGACGAAGCGUGAGUGACGGUAAUGGGUAAAGAAGCACCGGCUAACUACGUG
RNAcentral lists this ribosomal RNA (468 nucleotides) under uncultured bacterium. RNAcentral describes it as "partial 16S ribosomal RNA". It matches the Rfam family "Bacterial small subunit ribosomal RNA", at positions 28 to 507 of the family's 1533-position model. The record is from RNAcentral.